Alnus glutinosa is the source of this 1859-nucleotide long non-coding RNA. RefSeq lists it as uncharacterized. The record is from RefSeq and is a predicted model, not a curated record. NCBI's taxonomy places the organism in Eukaryota, Viridiplantae, Streptophyta, Magnoliopsida, Fagales, Betulaceae. The transcript has 2 exons.
CUUUUCUUUCUUCUAUUUUAAUCCUUCUUUGCAGCACCUCUUUUCCUUUAUUCCCUCUUUCAUAUUUCUUUCUCUCUUUUCCUUCUUUCUUUAUUCUUCUUUCUGUCUUCUUCUUUUUAUGACCGGCAGAGAGAGUGAGUAGGGAGAGUAAGACUAAGAGAGGGAGAGAUGUGAGACAGCAAGAGAUUGAGAGAAAGGUGAGAUGCUGAGAGACAGAGAAAGGGAGAGACCCGAGAGACCCAUAGCCAAGAAACCAUCCAGUCCAGUGGCAGAUCCGUGACCAACGAACCCGUAGCCAUGCAGUCUCGAUCCAUUGUGGCUCAAUCGGAACCCGCCGACCCCACACGACCGGUUGUGCAACCAGAAUCCGGCGACCCAACCCAGCCAAACGGUGCGUGUGAUUGUGACCCAGCUGCCCAACAUGAAGCCGAACCCAUAUCAGACCCCGUGGCAGACCCAAGCCCCGAUCAAACCCGAGAGAAGUCCAGCUCGUAUGAACCCAGAAACUGUCCUACCCAGUUCCGAUCAAAGCUGACUCAUCAAUGCAAGCCAACCCAGAAAUUCCAGCAACCACGUGCACUAUUCAGCAAACCCGCAGCAACCGGCCAUGAAGGAUCCAAGAGAAACCCAGUUUCCACCGGUGCCGUGAAGCUCAUAACUCCGAAACCCCAGCCGAUUGUAGCAAAUCAGGAGAUCGAGAGGAGGAGGCUUCGGCAGAACCUAGGACCUUGACCCGCAACCAACAUACAUGAAACCCAGCAACCAACCGAACCAUCCAGCAUGGGGGAGGGGACCUGAAGACCGGCAAUCCAGCAGCAGUGACCACGGUGAAGCCGACCCAGACCACCCAGCCGUAACCCACAGAUCCUAACCCCAGCUACUCCGGUGACCCCGACAGGUGACCAAGCCAUAUGUGUAUGAGCCCGUGCGACCAAGACCCCAGCAACCCAUAACCCGAAUUCUCUGCCAAGCCCAACCCGGUUUAGAUCCAGUCCAUGUUGAUGGCCCAACAGCAGCAGAAAACCAGCCCAUAGUAAACCCAGUCAACCCGUAACCCAAAAGCAGUGAGAGGGAGAUUGAUGUUGGAGAUGAUGAAUUGAGACAGCACAAAAGGGCUGUAAGUAUUUUUAUACUUACUGAGGGUAGCACUGGAUUUCAAUAAUGUUGUGUUUAUGUUUUAUUUUAAUUGGAUGCGUGUGACUGAUUAUUGCAUACUGUUAAUAAUCAACCUAUUAAUAUUGGGCGCGACGUCUCCCAAAGGUUCAUGAUAGAGUUGAACCGGAAACAAUAAUAAUCAUAUUGAUUGGAACGGCUUUCAAAGUACUAGAGGAGGGAGGUCUCCGAUAGUGCGAAAACAAGUUAAUUAAAAUGUAAUGUAGAGGGGACGGCCUCGAGAAACACGAUUAAACGGGGGGACGUGCCCUUACAAGAGAGGAGUGUAAUCACUAUAUAAACUGUUAAACUUUGCAUGAAAAACUAUCACCUCAUCAUUAUGUCAUAUCUGUACCUUAAAAUAACGCAUAAAUCAUGAUGUUGUUGAAUGACAGUUAGCUCACUUAUGAAACUAUGGGAUUGUGGCGGUAACCACCUUCUCAUAGAUGUUUGCGCAGGUACUGAAGAUUAUGGAAUGGAUUAACUGCUAGCUUAAGAGAUUUAUAGCUGUGUAGUUAGGAUUUUAGUACUUUGUACUCAUAGAUGUUUGUACUAUUUGCUUGUAAUAUGUCUAGACAUUUACUUGUAAUUAAUAAGUUCCAUGCAGGCUUUAGUGUCAUAUGUGACACAUGUUUCUUUGUAAAUAGUGUAAAGAUUUUUAAUGUAUUUUCUAGAAGAUGUCAGUUAAAGCUCUGAAUAUAUCGUAA